Molecule: long non-coding RNA, 458 nt
Organism: Branchiostoma floridae (Florida lancelet)
Lineage: Eukaryota; Metazoa; Chordata; Leptocardii; Amphioxiformes; Branchiostomatidae
Exons: 3
Source: RefSeq, a predicted model, not a curated record
CCCGCGCUUAGGGUCAAGGGUCAUGUACGAAGAUUUCCCGCGCUUGGUGUCAAGGGUCAAAUUCCGAGGGAUGCAGAUCAGAGAGAAGACGAGUUGUGUGAUAUAGAGGACACAUGUAAUCCACCACUGCCGGACUAGAACCCUCUUCGGGAGACAGGUCCCGUGAGGCUGCUGAUCGAGCUCGAGGGAUGACAUGACUCACAAGAGUGGCGGCAUCAAGGUAUAUGAUGCCCAGCCUUGAUGGAUGCAAAUUGGUAAGCUGCCAGCGGGAAUCUGUUCCACUCGACAUGGUCUAUCUUCAGUCGCCUGAGGAAGGAAUAGAUUGUUCCACGCAAUUCUGCCCAGUUGCCAAAGGAGAUGAUAAUCCUUUAAAGAUGAGGACACAAUAAGGAAGUUUCGAGCAAAGUAUGUACUAUAUUCCAAGAUGAUAAUCUAACAUAAAUGUUCUAUGUUUAGCA